RNAcentral lists this ribosomal RNA (439 nucleotides) under uncultured bacterium. RNAcentral's name for it is "bacterial SSU rRNA". It matches the Rfam family "Bacterial small subunit ribosomal RNA", at positions 958 to 1398 of the family's 1533-position model. The record is from RNAcentral.
AACGCGAAGAACCUUACCCAGGUUUGACAUGCAGAUGACCGCUCUAGAAAUAGGGCUUUCCUUCGGGACAUCUGCACAGGUGCUGCAUGGCUGUCGUCAGCUCGUGCCGUGAGGUGUUGGGUUAAGUCCCGCAACGAGCGCAACCCUUAUCAUUAGUUGCCAACAUUUAAGGUGGGAACUCUAAUGAGACUGCCUGGGUUAACCAGGAGGAAGGUGAGGAUGACGUCAAGUCCGCAUGGCCCUUAUAUCUGGGGCUACACACGUGCUACAAUGGUCGGUACAGAAGGCAGCGAAACCGCGAGGCGAAGCAAAUCCCCAAAACCGAUCCCAGUUCAGAUUGUAGUCUGCAACUCGACUACAUGAAGACGGAAUUGCUAGUAAUGACGAGUCAGCAACAUCGUCGUGAAUACGUUCCCGGGCCUUGUACACACCGGAGUGC